Molecule: microRNA precursor, 90 nt
Filed under: Cricetulus griseus (Chinese hamster)
Lineage: Eukaryota; Metazoa; Chordata; Mammalia; Rodentia; Cricetidae
Description: miRNA (ENSCGRG00001007363.1)
Source: RNAcentral
CUUCUUGCCUAGAUAUGUGGUUCUUAGUUAUAAACAUAUAUUAGGGCUGGAGAGAUGGCUCAGCUGUUAAAGGCUAGGCUCACAACCAAA